RNAcentral lists this long non-coding RNA (510 nucleotides) under Homo sapiens (human). RNAcentral's name for it is "non-protein coding lnc-PCNX2-8:2". The record is from RNAcentral. Lineage: Eukaryota; Metazoa; Chordata; Mammalia; Primates; Hominidae.
AACAGCUGCAACACUGCCAGAAACCACGGGAAGGGCGAAAUAUUUGCUGGUUGCUGCUAUUUGAAGCCUUGCCAGAAUCAACAAUGAUGGUCUUAGGCAUUAUCAGCUCAUUUUAAAAAUGUAUCCUGACAGAUGCUGGUAUGCUCCUCCUGAGAGGCACACAUCAGUUCUCAUGGCCCCCAAAGCAGUGGGAUGGGGUUGUUCAAAAGUUCAAGUGGGAGAAGGUGUUGGAAACUGAUCUAUUCCAACUCAGUUAAACAGGGAAGUGUGGAGAGGUUGCAUGUUUGGUCUUAUUUGGGUAAAGUAGACAAAGCAAUGCCCUCGGCCUUCAGUGUACACAGGUGACACCUGUAAGAAUUCAUUUAAAUGCAGGUUUCUAGGGCACACCCAGAGAUUUUGACUUAAGUUUUGGGGGACAUAGGAACAUACUUUUUUGUUUUUUUGAGACGGGGUCUCACUCUGUUGCCAACAUCUGCCUUCCGGGUUCAAGUGAUUCUCCUGCCUCAGCCU